Molecule: non-coding RNA, 107 nt
Filed under: Novosphingobium barchaimii
Lineage: Bacteria; Pseudomonadati; Pseudomonadota; Alphaproteobacteria; Sphingomonadales; Sphingomonadaceae
Description: Glycine sequence
Rfam family: Glycine riboswitch aptamer
About the family: This family represents the bacterial glycine riboswitch. Glycine riboswitches usually consist of two metabolite-binding aptamers domains with similar structures in tandem.
Source: RNAcentral
GCUGACAGCGCGGGAGAGAUCGCCAACGAUUCGCCAAAGCGGGUCUUGGUGACGCCGAAGGAGCAACCGCCCCGGAAACUCUCAGGCAAAAGGACCGCGCUUCGUCG